This is a long non-coding RNA of Neocloeon triangulifer, 1510 nucleotides long. RefSeq lists it as uncharacterized. The record is from RefSeq and is a predicted model, not a curated record. Lineage: Eukaryota; Metazoa; Arthropoda; Insecta; Ephemeroptera; Baetidae. The transcript is spliced from 4 exons.
ACAAAACACGGCGAACACACGGGAGUGUUGUGUUUUUCAGUCCGUAGAUUCGCGUUCCUCAGCGAAUCAAGAUAAUCAAGUGGCAAAAGCUACAAUAUUAGCUGAAUAAAUCAACUGAAUCACCUUUUCUCUGGUGAAAUGGGGUAAUAACAUUGAUUUUGGUCAACGUUGGUCGGAUCGCCGCAACUCCUUUGCACAACACUUGUCGCCGGUGCUGCCCUGAGUGCCCUGAGCAAGCCCUGAGUUGCCCUGAUGUCCUCUCUGCAUCUGCACUUCUGCAGCCUCUGGACUCUGGACCUGCAAAAUCUGCAAAGAGGAACAAGUUUGCGGAACGAUAAUAACAAUAUUGCUAAAUUCGGCCGAUUCGGUGCCGAUUCGCCCGCCGUCAUAGUCGUCAUACAAAAUUGCGCAAAAUUGACUCUGCGUAUAUGUAAUAAUUUAUCUCAAACACCUUUUCUUUUUGUUUCAGCCGCCAAGUUUGUAGCAAUUUUGCAAUUUUGCUCAGUCGAUUCUGUUGGCGAAAACGAAUCUCUCUUCAGAGCCACCUGCACCGCCAACCUCCUGAAAUCAGGCAGGGGCUGCGUCCGACUUUGUUGGUGAAUCUGGCUGAGCGACGAAUAUGCCUCCUCAUGUCAGCUGCGCCACUACAUUCGGUGGCUAGAGACUCAUGAAAGAUUUGAGAAUCUAAGAACAGCUCAGAACUUUGUCGCUGCUUCCAAGCCCACAAGGAGUCGCAAGAAACGCGAUCCCAAGCCUCCCACGGUGCAGCUGAGGAGAUCUCCUUGUUUCAAGCAGGAUCCUCCUGAGGAAGCCUCAACCAGCGGAGCGGUCGCGCUUCUGGUGGCUAAUCUGACCAGCACACCUGUAACCUCGCCUGUCACCAGCGAAGCCUCUGAUGAAGGCAGUGACGUCGAUCGACUCUGACUUUGAACCAGAAGCUGUGGAGCAAACCAUUUGAUGGAUAGACAGGCGCCUCUCAGGUCUGGUGAUUUACCCGCUGCAAAAUUUGGACCAGUCAAAAGAAGGGAAAAGAAGGCACUGAGAUGACUGCGGCUCCUUGCCUUGGUCCAGUGAAAAAUUUUGUUUGAAGCUCUCCAAAACCCUGAAUUUAUUUACUCACAGACUGAUCUUUGCAAAUUCUGGACCUUUUGAACUGCGCCGACCAUACUUAUGGUCGACACAUGAAUUGGGUUUGGCGCCUGAUAUGGAUGGGCGGUACUCGGCUAAGAGAUUAAUUGAUUCAUGGUCCCAGAGAGGGAGCAGGCAAAUAUGAAUGGAGGAAAAUUACUAAUUUAGAAUUAUCUUUGGUUCUGCUUUUCCACGCAGGGAGGAAGGUAAAGGAGAAAUUGGAUAAAGGAUCAGGCAAUUGAACAAGGACCAGCAAUUUGUAAAUAAUUAACUACUCUCUUUAUUAUGUUUUAAAUUAUGUCUACAAGGUAGACGUUUGUAUUACUUUGCUGUAAACAAAAUCAUGUUUGUUUUCGAAAUAAAAAGCUUCUUCUAUUUCACA